Molecule: transfer RNA, 67 nt
Filed under: Marmota monax (woodchuck)
Lineage: Eukaryota; Metazoa; Chordata; Mammalia; Rodentia; Sciuridae
Description: tRNA.Ala
Source: RNAcentral
GGUUGUGCAUCAGUGGUAGAACGCUUGCCUAGCAUGUGUGAGGCACUGGGUUCGAGCCUCAGCACCA